GUCUAUGGCCACGCCACCCUGAACAAGUCAGAUCCCGUCUGAUCUCGGAAGCUAAGCAGAGUCGGGCCCGGUUAGUACUUAGAUGGGAGACCACCUAGGAAAACCAGGUGCUAUAGGCG
This 119-nucleotide ribosomal RNA is filed under the name Pteropus alecto (black flying fox). Lineage: Eukaryota; Metazoa; Chordata; Mammalia; Chiroptera; Pteropodidae. The record is from RNAcentral.